CCACAAUCACCAUGGUUCCUCCGAGUCAGAAUCACAAUCUUCAGAAUAGCCCUUUUAAAAAGAGCUUUUGUUCAAUCCACAGUUGUCUCCAUCAGUCCUGUCA
Long non-coding RNA from Hyaena hyaena (striped hyena), 103 nucleotides. RefSeq lists it as uncharacterized. The transcript has 3 exons. NCBI's taxonomy places the organism in Eukaryota, Metazoa, Chordata, Mammalia, Carnivora, Hyaenidae. The record is from RefSeq and is a predicted model, not a curated record.